Molecule: transfer RNA, 77 nt
Filed under: Acidobacteria bacterium RIFCSPLOWO2_02_FULL_67_21
Lineage: Bacteria; Pseudomonadati; Acidobacteriota
Also listed under: 2 other names
Description: tRNA-Val
Rfam family: tRNA
About the family: Transfer RNA (tRNA) molecules are approximately 80 nucleotides in length.
Source: RNAcentral
GGACGCGUAGCUCAGUUGGUUAGAGCACCCCGUUCACACCGGGGAGGUCACUGGUUCGAGUCCAGUCGCGUCCACCA